GUUGAACGCUGGCGGCGUGCUUAACACAUGCAAGUCGAACGGAAAGGCUCCUGCUUGUAGGGGUUCUCGAGUGGCGAACGGGUGAGUAACACGUGGGUGAUCUGCCCUGCACUUCGGGAUAAGACUGGGAAACUGGGUCUACUACCGGCUCGGACCAUGGCUUGGCUGCCAUUGUGGAACGUUUUUCGGCGUGGGAUGAGAUCGCGGCCUAUGAGCUUGUUGGUGGGGUAAUGGCCUACCAAGGCGUCGCCGGGUAGCCGGCCUGGGAGGGUGGACAGGCACCAUGGGACUAAGGGACGGCGCAGAGUCGAACGGUGGGCAGCGGGGGGGAAUAUGGCACAGUGGGGGCAAGCCUGAUACGAAGGCGCUGGGGUGGGGAUGACGGCCUUCGGGUUGUAAACGCCUUGCGCUUGGGACGAAGCGCAAGUGACGGUACCUGGAGAAGAAGCACCGGCUAACUACGUG
RNAcentral lists this ribosomal RNA (465 nucleotides) under uncultured bacterium. Its description in RNAcentral is "partial 16S ribosomal RNA". It matches the Rfam family "Bacterial small subunit ribosomal RNA", at positions 28 to 507 of the family's 1533-position model. The record is from RNAcentral.